RNAcentral lists this transfer RNA (121 nucleotides) under Lachnellula subtilissima. It matches the Rfam family "tRNA". From Rfam's summary of the family: Transfer RNA (tRNA) molecules are approximately 80 nucleotides in length. Their secondary structure includes four short double-helical elements and three loops (D, anti-codon, and T loops). Further hydrogen bonds mediate the characteristic L-shaped molecular structure. tRNAs have two regions of fundamental functional importance: the anti-codon, which is responsible for specific mRNA codon recognition, and the 3' end, to which the tRNAs corresponding amino acid is attached (by aminoacyl-tRNA synthetases). tRNAs cope with the degeneracy of the genetic code in two manners: having more than one tRNA (with a specific anti-codon) for a particular amino acid; and 'wobble' base-pairing, i.e. permitting non-standard base-pairing at the 3rd anti-codon position. The record is from Rfam by way of RNAcentral. Lineage: Eukaryota; Fungi; Ascomycota; Leotiomycetes; Helotiales; Lachnaceae.
GGAAAGGUGGCCGAGUGGUUAUGGCGUGUGGCUCAAGAUACGAUUUCGUAUCUUUCUGAUGUAAAGAUCAGUGAGACUUCUCAUAGGGAAACCUGCAGGGGUUCGAAUCCCCUCCUUUUCA